RNAcentral lists this long non-coding RNA (237 nucleotides) under Zostera marina. Its description in RNAcentral is "long non-coding RNA (ZMAR_LNC000289)". Lineage: Eukaryota; Viridiplantae; Streptophyta; Magnoliopsida; Alismatales; Zosteraceae. The record is from RNAcentral.
AGGGCCAUAGUUGUAUAAGAGAUAGACAAUGUUUUACAUUUAAUGUUUUUACAUUUUGGUACUUGCAUUUCCCUAUAUCUGUAAUCUUGGGCUAUGCCCAACUUCCUUUUUCAGUAAUGAAAGCUUAAAUUUCUCAAAAAAAAAUGACAGGAGUUUUUGUGAGAAAAGUUACUGCUCUGAUUGUGUCAUAGAUGUUGAUGGUUACCAGAUAAUACUUUUUCUUAGUAUGAUGGAGAA